RNAcentral lists this ribosomal RNA (440 nucleotides) under uncultured bacterium. RNAcentral describes it as "partial 16S ribosomal RNA". It matches the Rfam family "Bacterial small subunit ribosomal RNA", at positions 338 to 795 of the family's 1533-position model. The record is from RNAcentral.
CCUACGGGUGGCUGCAGUGGGGAAUAUUGCACAAUGGGGGAAACCCUUAUCCAGCGACGCCGCGUGAGGGAAGAAGGUUUUCGGAUUGUAAACCUCUGUCAGUGGGGACGAUAAUGACGGUACCCACGGAGUAAGCCACGGCUAACUACGUGCCAGCAGCCGCGGUAAUACGUAGGUGGCAAGCGUUGUCCGGAAUUACUGGGUGUAAAGGGAGCGUAGGCGGGAUGUCAAGUCAGAAGUGAAAAUUAUGGGCUCAACCAUGAGAGUGCGGUGCAAACUGGAGACCUUGAGUGCGGGAAAGGCAGGCGGAAUUCGUGGUGUAGGGGUGAAAUGCUUAGAGAUCACGAAGAACCCCGAUUGCGAAGGCAGCCUGCCGGAGCGUAACUGACGCUGAAGCUCGAAAGCGCGGGUAUCGAACAGGAUUAGAUACCCGAGUAGUC